RNAcentral lists this ribosomal RNA (550 nucleotides) under uncultured bacterium. RNAcentral describes it as "bacterial SSU rRNA". It matches the Rfam family "Bacterial small subunit ribosomal RNA", at positions 775 to 1319 of the family's 1533-position model. The record is from RNAcentral.
AGAAAAUAGAUACCCGGGUAGUCCACGCCCUAAACGAUGUCGACUGGUUGUUGGUGGGGUUAAACCCAUUAGUAACGAAAGCUAAACGCGUGAAAGUCGACCGCCUGGGGAGUACGGCCGCAAGGUUAAAACUCAAAGGAAUUGACGGGGACCCGCACAAGCGGUGGAUGAUGUGGAUUAAUUCGAUGCAAACGCGAAGAACCUUACCUACCCUUGACAUGCCAGGAACCCUGCUGAGAGGUGGGGUGCCCGAAACGGGAACCUGGACACAGGUGCUGCAUGGCUGUCGUCAGCUCGUGUCGUGAGAUGUUGGGUUAAGUCCCGCAACGAGCGCAACCCUUGUCACUAGUUGCUACGGUAACGGGCACUCUAGUGAGACUGCCGGUGACAAACCGGAGGAAGGUGGGGAUGACGUCAAGUCCUCAUGGCCCUUAUGGGUAGGGCGUUCACACGUCAUACAAUGGCGCAUACAGAGGGCUGCCAACCCGCGAGGGGGAGCCAAUCCCAGAAAGUGCGUCGUAGUCCGGAUUGCAGUCUGCAACUCGACUGC